CAGUAGCCGCGGUAAUACAGAGGGUGCGAGCGUUAAUCGGAUUUACUGGGCGUAAAGCGUGCGUAGGCGGCUUCUUAAGUCGGAUGUGAAAUCCCUGAGCUUAACUUAGGAAUUGCAUUCGAUACUGGGAAGCUAGAGUAUGGGAGAGGAUGGUAGAAUUCCAGGUGUAGCGGUGAAAUGCGUAGAGAUCUGGAGGAAUACCGAUGGCGAAGGCAGCCAUCUGGCCUAAUACUGACGCUGAGGUACGAAAGCAUGGGGAGCAAACAGGAUUAGAUACCCCCGUAGUCCCUAUCUCUUAUAC
RNAcentral lists this ribosomal RNA (301 nucleotides) under uncultured bacterium. Its description in RNAcentral is "partial 16S ribosomal RNA". It matches the Rfam family "Bacterial small subunit ribosomal RNA", at positions 509 to 807 of the family's 1533-position model. The record is from RNAcentral.